RNAcentral lists this non-coding RNA (24 nucleotides) under Rattus norvegicus (Norway rat). The record is from RNAcentral. Lineage: Eukaryota; Metazoa; Chordata; Mammalia; Rodentia; Muridae.
UUAUGACUCAAGGCACUGAAGCAA